GUCAGACUUUUUUCUUUUGGUCCCCCACCCCCGUUUUGAAAUUUUGUAUUUCGUUUCCAUAUACAUCAAGAUGUUUGAAACUUAAAAAAAGAAUAAUGUUUUUCCUAGAAGACUCUGCUAGAAAAGAAAAGGAAAAAGGAAACAAAAACCCUACGGGCGCCGUCCCCAGGAGCGCCGAGAUCGCCGAGUUAGGAAGCCCGGCCAGGUCUCUUGAUGUCAGAAAGAUGGGCCACUUCUUGGGCCCGUUUUCGAAGUGUCUGUGA
RNAcentral lists this long non-coding RNA (263 nucleotides) under Suricata suricatta (meerkat). RNAcentral describes it as "lncRNA (ENSSSUG00005017188.1)". Lineage: Eukaryota; Metazoa; Chordata; Mammalia; Carnivora; Herpestidae. The record is from RNAcentral.